CAAAGGAAUUCGACGGACCCGCACAAGCAGCGGAGCGUGUGGUUAAUUCGAUGCUACACGUAAGACCUUACCAGGGUUUGACAUGCAAGUGGUAGGAAUCCGAAAGGUGACCGACCUUCGGGGAGCUUGCACAGGUGCUGCAUGGCUGUCGUCAGCUCGUGUCGUGAGAUGUUGGGUUAAGUCCCGCAACGAGCGCAACCCUUAUCAUUAGUUGCUACGCAAGGGCACUCUAAUGAGACUGCCGGUGGACAAACCGGAGGAAGGUGGGGAUGACGUCAAGUCCUCAUGGCCCUUAUGGGUAGGGCUUCACACGUCAUACAAUGGUCGGUACAGAGGGUUGCCAAGCCGCGAGGCGGAGCCAAUCCCACAAAGCCGAUCGUAGUCCGGAUUGUUCUCUGCAACUCGAGAGCAUGAAGUCGGAAUCGCUAGUAAUCGCAGGUCAGCAUACUGCGGUGAAUACGUUCCCGGGUCUU
RNAcentral lists this ribosomal RNA (473 nucleotides) under uncultured Thiobacillus sp. Its description in RNAcentral is "bacterial SSU rRNA". It matches the Rfam family "Bacterial small subunit ribosomal RNA", at positions 902 to 1382 of the family's 1533-position model. The record is from RNAcentral. Lineage: Bacteria; Pseudomonadati; Pseudomonadota; Betaproteobacteria; Nitrosomonadales; Thiobacillaceae.